AGUGAACACUGGCGGUAGGCCUAACACAUGCAAGUCGAACGGCAGCACAGGAGAGCUUGCUCUCUGGGUGGCGAGUGGCGGACGGGUGAGGAAUACAUCGGAAUCUACUCUGUCGUGGGGGAUAACGUAGGGAAACUUACGCCAAUACCGCAUACGACCUACGGGUGAAAGCAGGGGACCUUCGGGCCUUGCGCGAUUGAAUGCGCCGAUGUCGGAUUAGCUAGUUGGCGGGGUAAAGGCCCACCAAGGCGACGAUGCGUAGCUGGUCUGAGGGGAUGUUCAGCCACACUGGAACUGAGACACGGUCCAGACUCCUACGGGAGGCAGCAGUGGGGAAUAUUGGACAAUGGGCGCAAGCCUGAUCCAGCCAUACCGCGUGGGUGAAGAAGGCCUUCGGGUUGUAAAGCCCUUUUGUUGGGAAAGAAAUCCAGCUGGCUAAUACCCGGUUGGGAUGACGGUACCCAAAGAAUAAGCACCGGCUAACUUCGUGCCAGCCGCCGCCGUAA
This 506-nucleotide ribosomal RNA is filed under the name uncultured bacterium. Its description in RNAcentral is "partial 16S ribosomal RNA". It matches the Rfam family "Bacterial small subunit ribosomal RNA", at positions 29 to 523 of the family's 1533-position model. The record is from RNAcentral.